UACGGAGGGUGCAAGCGUUUGUCCGGAAUCACUGGGCGUAAAGGGCGCGUAGGCGGCUCAUGAAGGCUGUGGUGAAAGUCCGGGGCUCAACCUCGGAUCGGCCGUGGCGACUCGUGGGCUGGAGCACUGUAGAGGCGGGUGGAAUUCCGGGUGUAGCGGUGGAAUGCGUAGAGAUCCGGAAGAACACCAGUGGCGAAGGCGGCCCGCUGGGCAGUGGCUGACGCUGAGGCGCGACAGCGUGGGGAGCAAACAGG
This 254-nucleotide ribosomal RNA is filed under the name uncultured bacterium. Its description in RNAcentral is "partial 16S ribosomal RNA". It matches the Rfam family "Bacterial small subunit ribosomal RNA", at positions 524 to 776 of the family's 1533-position model. The record is from RNAcentral.